AUGAAGUCGGAAUUGCUAGUAAUCGCAGAUCAGCAUGCUGCGGUGAAUACGUUCCCGGGCCUUGUACACACCGCCCGUCACACCAUGGGAGUCGGUAACACCCGAAGCCUGUAGUCUAACCGCAAGGAGGACGCAGUCGAAGGUGGGAUUGAUGACUGGGGUGAAGUCGUAACAAGGUAUC
This 181-nucleotide ribosomal RNA is filed under the name uncultured bacterium. RNAcentral describes it as "partial 16S ribosomal RNA". It matches the Rfam family "Bacterial small subunit ribosomal RNA", at positions 1320 to 1500 of the family's 1533-position model. The record is from RNAcentral.